AGAGUUUGAUCCUGGCUCAGGAUGAACGCUGGCGGCGUGCUUAACACAUGCAAGUCGAACGAGAGAGGAUCGGUGCUUGCACUGAUCCAAUCGAGUGGCGGACGGGUGAGUAACGCGUGGGUAACCUGCCUCAUACAGGGGAAUAACAGUUGGAAACGGCUGCUAAAACCGCAUAAGCGCACAGUAUCGCAUGAUACAGUGUGAAAAACUCCGGUGGUAUGAGAUGGACCCGCGUCUGAUUAGCUAGUUGGUGAGGUAACGGCCACCAAGGCAACGAUCGAGUAGCCGGCCUGAGAGGGUGAACGGCCACAUUGGGACUGAGACACGGGCCCAAACUCCUACGGGAGGCA
This 350-nucleotide ribosomal RNA is filed under the name uncultured bacterium. RNAcentral describes it as "bacterial SSU rRNA". It matches the Rfam family "Bacterial small subunit ribosomal RNA", at positions 8 to 350 of the family's 1533-position model. The record is from RNAcentral.